AUACUUACCUGGAUGGGGUCAAUGAGUGAUCAAUAAGGCUCAUGGCCUAAAACUGCGACCUUCAUUGCACAUGGAAGGGGUGCUGUUUUAAGGUCUGCCCUAGUGGCAGAGCCUACAUCAUAAUUUGUGGUAGAGGGGCUUGCGUUCGCGCAGCUCCUAC
This is a small nuclear RNA of Vigna angularis (adzuki bean), 160 nucleotides long. It matches the Rfam family "U1 spliceosomal RNA". Rfam says of the family: U1 is a small nuclear RNA (snRNA) component of the spliceosome (involved in pre-mRNA splicing). The record is from Rfam. NCBI's taxonomy places the organism in Eukaryota, Viridiplantae, Streptophyta, Magnoliopsida, Fabales, Fabaceae.